Molecule: ribosomal RNA, 753 nt
Filed under: Spilonema revertens
Lineage: Eukaryota; Fungi; Ascomycota; Lecanoromycetes; Peltigerales; Coccocarpiaceae
Description: SSU rRNA
Rfam family: Eukaryotic small subunit ribosomal RNA
Source: RNAcentral
GCUCAUUAAAUCAGUUAUCGUUUAUUUGAUAGUACCUUCUACUUGGAUACCUGUGGUAAUUCUAGAGCUAAUACAUGCUAAAAACCCCGACUUCGGGAGGGGUGUAUUUAUUAGAUAAAAAACCAAUGCCCUCCGGGGCUCCUUGGUGAUUCAUAAUAACUUAACGAAUCGCAUGGCCUUGCGCCGGCGAUGGUUCAUUCAAAUUUCUGCCCUAUCAACUUUCGAUGGUAGGAUAGUGGCCUACCAUGGUUUCUACGGGUAACGGGGAAUUAGGGUUCGAUUCCGGAAAAGGAGCCUGAGAAACGGCUACCACAUCCAAGGAAGGCAGCAGGCGCGCAAAUUACCCAAUCCCGACNCGGGGAGGUAGUGACAAUAAAUACUGAUGCAGGGCUCUUUCGGGCUUUGCAAUUGGAAUGAGAACAAUGUAAACCCCUUAACGAGGAACAAUUGGAGGGCAAGUCUGGUGCCAGCAGCCGCGGUAAUUCCAGCUCCAAUAGCGUAUAUUAAAGUUGUUGCAGUUAAAAAGCUCGUAGUUGAAACUUGGGCCUGGCUGGCCGGUCCGCCUCACCGCGUGCACUGGUCCGGCCGGGCCUUCCUUCUGGGGAACCGCAUGCCCUUCAUUGGGUGUGCCGGGGAACCAGGACUUUUACUUUGAAAAAUUAGAGUGUUCCAGCAGGCCUUUGCUCGGAUACAUUAGCAUGGAAUAAUGGAAUAGGACGCGCGGUUCUAUUUUGUUGGUUUCUAGGACCGCCG